This 1063-nucleotide long non-coding RNA is filed under the name Gallus gallus (chicken). Lineage: Eukaryota; Metazoa; Chordata; Aves; Galliformes; Phasianidae. The record is from RNAcentral.
CAAGCAGUGUCUGCAGCAGCUCUACAACCAUUUCUGAUUAGCCAGCUGCACAUCUCCAGCACUGGUGGAUGUUUUUGCUGAGCACACCCCCAUGGCUGCGCUGAGCCAUCACUGGAAGGGGACCCGGGAGCCCUGCAAAGCACAGUGAGCCGCAGCUAUUGCAAUUUCCAUCAUCAGGUCCCUACAGAAGGAACAUAAGCUAUGGCAGGAGCUCCUCAGUAAGCAAUAAAGAAAGGUUUCCCUUUAAAACUGCUUGUUUCGUAGAGCUGCCAUGGCAGUGUGGGUGCAGGCAGUGUUUUGGGAUCAUUUUGUUGGUUGGCACAAACUGCUUUUGCAAAGACAUUUCAUUUUGCACUCUUUGGCACUUAGGAUUUACCUCUUAUCUCGUGGUUUAAACACAGGCAGGUGUGGAUAGAGCAGCGGAGUCAGUCCAGACUGCACAAGGAGUGAGGAAAUGCACUAUUUUGGUUGUCUGCACAGUUUUUGCACCAGGAAGAACAGCACUUUCCCCACAGGGUGCUGCUCUGUGUAGUGCACAGAACAAUAAGCAGCAAGUUGCAGGGCUUGCAAAACUGACUUAAGUCUUUACAAAGGGUUUAUCUACCUCAGGGGCUCUCAUUGUCUGCUUUCAAAGGGUUCCUCAGUGCCAGACGGAUUCCUGAGUAUGGUUGGUGAGAAAAUAUUAAAAUGGGAUUUGGAAGCUAUCAAUCAUAAUGUGCCUUUAUAGCACAGAGCAAAAGAGAUUUGAAAUGUGGGGGCUAGCUGAUAACAGGCUGCAUUAAAUGCCCAUUUGUUUUGGUCCUGGAGCUGUUUGUGUGCACAAAGCACUGCAGGAUCUCUCUUCUCCUGGGAGCACUGAGCUGGGCCCUGCAGGAUGGCAUCACCUCGGCUGGAAAACCUCCACCUGUGCUUCUGGCAGGGCCUGCACACAGCCUUCCUUUGCUGCCAGAGCCCCAGGCAGAGCAGCAGCAGGCACAGAGCCUGGCACAGAGCCUGCCAGGGCUGGAACUCAGCAGAAAUGCAUCCAGAGAGCAAAGCACGGCGCUGAGUGACGCAGGCAGUG